RNAcentral lists this ribosomal RNA (325 nucleotides) under uncultured bacterium. RNAcentral describes it as "bacterial SSU rRNA". It matches the Rfam family "Bacterial small subunit ribosomal RNA", at positions 28 to 334 of the family's 1533-position model. The record is from RNAcentral.
GACGAACGCUGGCGGCGCGCCUAACACAUGCAAGUCGAACGGGGAUAUGCUGGACAAGGCUUCGGCCGAGGAAGGCAUAUUCGAGUGGCGGACGGGUGAGUAACGCGUGAGCAACCUGCCUUUCAGAGGGGGAUAACGAUUGGAAACGAUCGCUAAUACCGCAUAACAUUGCAGAGCCGCAUGGUUUUGCAAUCAAAGGAGCAAUCCGCUGAGAGAUGGGCUCGCGUCCAAUUAGGUAGAUGGCGGGGUAGAGGCCCACCAUGCCGACGAUUGGUAGCCGGACUGAGAGGUUGAACGGCCACAUUGGGACUGAGACACGGCCCAG